GCAUAUCAAUAAGCGGAGGAAAAGAAACCAACAGGGAUUGCCCCAGUAACGGCGAGUGAAGCGGCAAGAGCUCAAAUUUGAAAGCUGGCUCCUUCGGGGUCCGCAUUGUAAUUUGCAGAGGAUGCUUCGGGAGCGGUCCCCAUCUAAGUGCCCUGGAACGGGACGUCAUAGAGGGUGAGAAUCCCGUAUGGGAUGGGGUGUCCGCGCCCGUGUGAAGCUCCUUCGACGAGUCGAGUUGUUUGGGAAUGCAGCUCUAAAUGGGUGGUAAAUUUCAUCUAAAGCUAAAUAUUGGCCGGAGACCGAUAGCGCACAAGUAGAGUGAUCGAAAGAUGAAAAGCACUUUGAAAAGAGAGUUAAAAAGCACGUGAAAUUGUUGAAAGGGAAGCGCUUGCGACCAGACUCGCUCGCGGGGUUCAGCCGGCAUUCGUGCCGGUGUAUUUCCCCGCGGGCGGGCCAGCGUCGGUUUGGGCGGUCGGUCAAAGGCCCUCGGAAGGUAACGCCCCUA
Molecule: ribosomal RNA, 505 nt
Filed under: Penicillium sp. W10
Lineage: Eukaryota; Fungi; Ascomycota; Eurotiomycetes; Eurotiales; Aspergillaceae
Description: eukaryotic LSU rRNA
Rfam family: Eukaryotic large subunit ribosomal RNA
Source: RNAcentral